UACAGAGAACAGUGAUCACGCCACUGCACUCCAGCCUACAUGACAGAGUGAGACCAACCAAUCUUGUCAAAUAGUUACUUCUAGCAAUACUAAUUAAAUCCAUCCAAAGUUUCAAAGAAGACUUUAAGGUGAUCAUCCAAUUUCACUGCCAGUAGAAUUAUCUAGUCUAAUUUCCAUUCACCAAUUUACACUAGGAUUCUUUUUCAAAUACAUACCACCCACUCCCUGGCAUUUCAGUUUUAAAAGCAAAAGCUCAGUGGAAAGAGCAGGCAUUGGAGUUACAAAAGUACAAAAAUUAUCUGGUGUGGUGGUGUGCACCUGUAGUUCCAGCCAUCAGGAGGCUGAGGCGGGAGGACUGCUUGAGCCCAGAAGGCAGAGGUUGCAGUGAGCCGAGAUUGUGCCACUGCGCUCCAGCCUGGGCAAUAGAACCAGACCCUGUCUGAAAAAAAAAAAAAAUUAUAUGGGGGUAUAAGGAACCCAGAACAGGAUAAAACAAUCUUGAAAAUGAAGAGCGUAUUUGGAGGACUCACACUUUCCAAUUUCAGAACUUACUACAGGCUGGUUCAUGCCUGUAAUCCCAGCACUUUGGGAAGCCAAGGCAGACGGAUCACUUGAGGUCAGGAGUUUGAGACCAGCCUGACCAACAGCGAAACCCCAUCUCUACUAAAAAAAAAAAAAAAAAAAAAAAAUUAGCUGGGGAUGGUGGCACACACCUGUAGUCCCAGCUACUCAGGAGGCUGAGGCAGGAGAAUUGCUUGAACCCGGGAGGCGGAGGUUGCAGUGAGCCGAGAAUGUGCCACUGCACUCCAGCCUGGGUGACAGAGUGAGAGUCGGUCUCAAAAAAAAAAGUAACUUACUACAAAGCAGUAGUAAUCAAGACAGUGUGAUAUUAGCAAAAAGAUAGAUAAAUAGCUAGAAAUGCAAGUUCAGAAACUCAUAUCUAUGGUCAAUUGAGUUUUUAAAAAUUACUUUUUAAAACAAAAAACCCCAUAUGCAAGCAUAUGGUCAAUUGUUUUUUGACAAGUGUGCCAAGACCAUUUAAUGGUCAACUAAUGGUGCUGGCAUAACCAAAUAGCCACAUGCAAAAGAAUGAAGUUGGACCUCCUCCUUACACUGCAUACAAGUAAAAAGAUACACUUUUAGAUAAGCCUAGAUUAAAUUCCAGCCCUGACACUGCAAAUCUGGGUAGAUUUCUUAAUCCCUCCUUCCCUUCACUGUAGAAAGCAUAUAAUAGUUAUUGUGAAAUAUUAUAGUGAUUAAGUGAAACAUAUCGGAGGCAGCUUUCUCUGCAUUAAUCUUUCAGGCACAUACUUUUUCCCCAAAAAGCUACUCUUCAAGGGAGGAAAUCCAGGUACAAGUGGCUCUAUCAAUAUGCUUGGUCAUUUUUUAAAUAACAGCUUUAUUGAACUGAUUGGUCAAUUUUGUCUCCAUUAGAAUUCUUGCCAAACUGUACUGCUGUCUUUAUUGGACAGUUAAGAUACAGUUUAACGUUUUCAGGCCGGGCGCGGUGGCUCACGCCUGUAAUCCCA
Molecule: long non-coding RNA, 1529 nt
Filed under: Homo sapiens (human)
Lineage: Eukaryota; Metazoa; Chordata; Mammalia; Primates; Hominidae
Description: HSALNT0202159
Source: RNAcentral